Bactrocera dorsalis (oriental fruit fly) is the source of this 16596-nucleotide RNA transcript. It is a transcript of the gene named putative nuclease HARBI1, with no coding region annotated. Lineage: Eukaryota; Metazoa; Arthropoda; Insecta; Diptera; Tephritidae. The record is from RefSeq and is a predicted model, not a curated record. The transcript has 3 exons.
AUAAGGUUCUAUCGAGCGUAUUGUGUGAAAGAUUAAAGCCCACCGUCAACAAACUGAUUGGACCUUAUCAGUGUGGCUUCAGACCUGGUAAAUCAACAACCGACCAGAUAUUCACCAUGCGCCAAAUCUUGGAAAAGACCCGUGAAAGGAGAAUCGACACACAUCACCUCUUCGUCGAUUUUAAAGCUGCUUUCGACAGUACGAAAAGGAGCUGCCUUUAUGCCGCAAUGUCUGAAUUUGGUAUCCCCGCAAAACUAAUACGGCUGUGUAAACUGACAUUGAGCGGGACCAAAAGCUCCGUCAGGAUCGGGAAGGACCUCUCCGAGCCGUUCGAUACCAAACGAGGUUUCAGACAAGGCGACUCCCUAUCGUGCGAUUUCUUCAAUCUGCUGCUGGAGAAAAUAGUUCGAGCUGCUGAACUUAAUCGAGCAGGUACAAUCUUUUAUAAGAGUGUACAGCUGCUGGCGUAUGCCGAUGAUAUUGAUAUCAUCGGUCUCAACACCCGAGCCGUUAGUUCUGCUUUCUCCAGACUGAACAAGGAAGCAACGCAAAUGGGUCUGGCAGUGAACGAGGGCAAGACGAAAUAUCUCCUGUCAUCAAACAAACAGUCGUCGCACUCGCGACUUGGCACUCACGUCACUGUUGACAGUCAUAACUUUGAAGUUGUAGAUAAUUUCGUCUAUCUUGGAACCAGCGUAAACACCACCAACAAUGUCAGCUUUGAAAUCCAACGCAGGAUAACUCUUGCCAAGAGGUGCUACUUCGGACUGAGUAGGCAAUUGAGAAGCAAAGUCCUCUCUCGACAGACAAAAACCAAACUCUAUAAGUCACUCAUAAUUCCCGUCCUGCUAUAUGGUGCAGAGGCCUGGACGAUGUCAACAACAGAUGAGUCGACGUUGCGAGUUUUCGAGAGAAAAGUUCUGCGAAAGAUUUAUGGUCCUUUGCGCGUUGGCCACGGCGAAUAUCGCAUUCGAUGGAACGAUGAGCUGUACGAGAUAUACGGCGACAUUGACAUAGUUCAGCGAAUUAAAAGACAGCGGCUACGCUGGCUAGGUCAUGUUGUCCGAAUGGACGAAAAUACUCCAGCUCUGAAAGUAUUCGACGCUGUACCCGCCGGGGGAAGCAGAGGAAGACCUCCACUCCGUUGAAAGGACCAAGUGGAGAAGGACCUGGCUUCGCUUGGAAUAUCCAAUUGGCGCCACGUAGCGAAGAGAAGAAACGACUGGCGCGCUGUUGUUGACUCGGCUAUAAUCGCGUAAGCGGUGUCUACGCCAGUAAAGAAGAAGAAGUAAAGUCUUCAAAGGUUAUAAUUUAGAGCACGAUAAAAUUGUAAAAUUAUUUUCUCGUAAACUACUGGAGAUAAAUCGAUGAAAUUUUGUGAAGUCAAAGAAAAAUGUUCGUGCUAUAUUAUAAAUAUUUUUUUAUGGUCCUUUUCUUUAAAUAAUAAUAUUUUAUUUAUUACCUGUCUUGAAAUGUAUGGCACAACCAUCGUUGCGCAAUGCGCUAAUGCUUUUCUUGCGGCACAGAUGUCGGGAGCUUACGAUCGAUGUGCCAUACGUUUUAAGAGAGGUAGAAGGACGAAAAAUUCAAUUUCUUGGGAAUGGUAUGAAUGAGCAAAACUUUUUUUUCCAGAUUAUUAAAGGUGAAUAUUUUCCACGAUGUGUCACAUACUUUUAAAUUUUUUUUUACCGUGAAGAACACUUAAAAAAUUUCAAUUGUUUAACAAAAAACCGAGGGGGGUUGCACUCCGGGAGUGCAGGCAGAAGUGAAAACUUGAAGCGCGUUGGGCACUUUUUUGGGUGAGCAUUUUUAGGAGUGCUCGCGGCAUGAGAAAUUGUACAUAAAGAAGUAAGGAAGGGCUAAGUUCGGGUGUCACCGAUCAUUUUAUACUCUCGCAUGACAAAGUGAUAAUCGAGAUUUCAUUAUUCGUCAUUUACAUAUUUUUUUAUUUUGCUGUAAAAUUAAUUAGAAUUAAAUUCUGAGAGAUUUACCGAUAUUUUCGAUAAUUUCGUGUUCGAUAUUAGGAACCUUGAAAAGUUAUAAUCCGAUCACGACAAUUUUUCCACAAGGGAUACCUCAGCUCAAAUACCGUAUUUGUGUAAAGUUUUAUUCCGCUAUCAUCAAUGGGUCCUAAUGUAUAUAUUAUAUAGAGAAGGCAUCAGAUGGAAUUGAAAAUAGCGUUAUAUGGGAAGAAGGCGUGGUUGUGAACCGAUUUCGCCCAUAUUUCGUACAUGUCAUCAGGGUGGUAAGAAAAUACCAAAUUCAUUGAAAUCGGUCGAGUAGUUCCUGAGCUAUGGUUUUUGGUCCAUAAGUGGGCGACGCCACGCCCAUUUUCAAUUUUUGAAGAAAGCCUGGGUGCAGCUUCCUUCUGCCAUUUCUUCCGUAAAAUUUAGUGUUUCUGACGUUUUUUGUUAGUCGGUUAACGCGCUUUUAGUGAUUUUCAACAUAACCUUUGUAUGGGAGGUGGGCUAUAUGGUUUUUAUCCGAUUUCUUCCAUUUUUGAACUGUAUAUGAAAAUGCCUGAAGGAAACGACUCUAUAGAGUUUGGUUGACAUAGCUAUAGUAGUUUUCGAGAUAUGUACAAAAAUCUUAGUAGGGGGCGGUGCCACGCCCACUUUUCCAAAAAAAUUACGUCCAAAUAUGUCCCUCCCUAAUGCGAUCCUUUGUGCCAAUUUUCACUUUAAUAUCUUUAUUUAUGGCUUAGUUAUGACACUAUAGGUUUUCGGUUUCCGCCAUUUUGUGGCCGUGGCAGUGGGCCGAUUUCGCCCAUCUUCGAAUUUAACCUUCUUAUGAAGCCAAAUACGUGUACCAAGUUUCAUCAUGAUAUCUCAAUUUUUACUCAAGUUACAGCUUGCACUGACGGACGGACGGACGGACGGACAGACAGACAUCAGGAUUUCAACUCUACCCCUCACCCUGAUCACUUUGGUAUAUAUAACCCUAUAUCUGAUUCUUUUAGUUUUAGGACUUACAAACAACCGUUAUGUGAACAAAACUAUAAUACUCUCCUUAGCAACUUUGUUGCUAGAGCAGUGUUUGUUAUUCUAGCGUCAACUGAUCGCAAAAUUCUUCUUUGCUUGCCUACGAAGUUGAAUACAGUAGCACAAUCGUGCUUUCACAGACACUUGUCGCGACAUGUUGGUGUGAGGUUUUUUUUUUUUUUUUUUUUUUUUUUUUUUUUUUGUGUCGGAGGGGGAAUCUUCCAGAAGAUACUGCCUUAGACGGGCAGCAUGUACGAUUCAUUUUGCCCGCUAAAGAUACACCUCAGGACCAAGCUGGGCAAGAAUGCCUCUUCAAAAACUCCUUUCGUAGUUAUUCAGCUGCUCUCAGGCUUCUUCGCUGUCGUUCUCUUAUCCUGAGUUCAUGGAUCGCUAUUGCGGCCCACUCUUUCAUUUUUGCCCAUACCACCUUCGAUUGCAGCAUGUGGCUUAUAAUGUUGUCAGGCGUCAUCCUUUGAUUUGUUAUUUCUUCGAUGGUAGUUCUCUCCAUUACGUAUCUCGAGCAGAAGAAAAAGAUAUGCUCGGCGUUUUCGUUGGCACUGCUGCAGAACGAACAUUUUGUGUCAUCGUCGUGGCCGAAUCUGUACAGGUAUUCCCUGAAACAGCCAUGGCCUGUCAAGAAUUGCGUGAGAUAAAAGUCUGUCUCCCCAUGCUGUCUCUCAAUCCAAGCUGAUACGUUUUUAAUGAGCCUGUGCGUCCAUCUUCCUUUUUCUGCCGCGUUCCAUUGUCUUUGCCACUCUUCGAGGCUAACCUGUCUCUCCUUUUUUCGCUCUUCAGCUGUUAAACGCAUAUUCAUUUCUUUAGACUUUAGGUAUGCUCUACAUAGCUCUGAGGCCAUUAGGUCCGGAGGCAUAAGACCAGAUAUGAUACCGGCCGCUUCAUGUGAGACCGUUCUGAAUGCACAGGCCACUCUGAUGGCGCAUAGCCUGGUCACUGCUUUUGCCUUAUUGGCAUUUGUUUUUUGGCGCAGUGCUUUUUCCCAUAUAGGGGCCGCAUACAUCAGUGUUGACUGACUCACUUUAGCUAGUAGGGCUCUCCUACUUUGACUAGGGCCGCCAGUGUUAGCCAUAAUUCUUGACAGGGCCGCUGUAACAGUAGCUGCCUUGCUACAGGCCUUUUCAACAUGUGCUUUGAAAUUCAAUCUCGCGUCAAUCAUAACGCCAAGGUAUCUCAGAGAGUUUUGCGUUGUAACGUUGCAUCCAUCGAUAUUUAAGGUUACCGUUUCUAAUUUUUUCCUGCUCGUGAUAAGCACCGCUUCCGUCUUUUCUCCAGCCAGCUGCAACUUAGUUUCCGUGAGCCAGUCCUUAAUUUUAGCUGUGGUCGCAUUACAGGAGUUUUGUAUUUGAGAGAGCUCUUUCGCAACUAUCGUCACAGCAAUGUCGUCCGCAUAGCCAAUUAUUUGAGUCUCUUUUGGCAGCGGUAGGCGUAGCACCCCGUCGUAUAGCACAUUCCAGAGUAACGGACCCAAUACGGAGCCCUGCGGUACUCCACCUGUCACCACGUACCUUUUUGGGCCGGCAUCGGUGUCGUACAGUAGCAGUCUAUCAGAUAGAUAGCUACUGAUUAUCCUUAGUAGAUAUCCCGGAGUCUUCCUUGCCUCUAAAGCCCUAAUUAUAUGUGGCCAGGAUGCAGAAUUAAAAGCAUUUUUGACGUCAAGUGUGACAACUGCACAAUACUUUUUAUCGCCAUGCAUCCACCUGGUUCCCUCUAUGGCCUUGGCCGCGAUGUCCGUCAAUUUCCCGACUGCGUCCAUAGUGGAUCGAUGUCUUCGGAAACCAAAUUGGUUUUCAGACAAGCCAGGCAGCUCUCCUUCUAGGUGACGUUCCAGACGUUUACAGAUUAACUUCUCCAAUAUUUUGGCCAUCGUGUCGAUCAUACAAAGUGGUCUAUACGCACUCGGCUCGCCCGCCGGUUUGUUUGGUUUCUGAAGGAGAACCAGGCGCUGCUUCUUCCAUACUCUUGGGAAAACGCCUUCGUUUAGACACCUAGAAAAAAUUUCCGCGAAGGCCUUCUUGUUGUGUUUAACCGCAAUCUUAAGCGCCUUAUUUGGGAUGCCAUCAAGUCCUGGCGCCUUUGUAUUACCGAAUCUUUCUGCCACUUGUACUAUCUCCUCCUCGUCGAUUGUCAAAGUUUCGACCGUUGAUGGUAUUCUUCUGCUCGUAUGCUGCUCUUGCGAUGGGAAGAGCGUUUUCACCACUUUCUCUAGCAGUGUAGCACAGGUUGGUGCUUGGUUUUUACCACCCUUGACCUUUGCCAUUACUAUUUUAUAGGCAUCUCCCCAUGGAUUUUCAUCUACCUUCUCGCAUAGUUCUUUAAAGCUUGAGGUCUUACUUCUUUUAAUAGCCUUUUUAAACUCAUUUCGUUUUCUUUUAAAAUAUACUCGCAGCCUCGUUUGUUCUGGCGUACCUAAGCUUCUUUGGGAGAGGCGUCUCGCUCUAUGACAUUCGCUUCUUAGUGCGCUAAUCUCCUCGUUCCACCAGUAUGCGGACCUUCUGGGUGCGUUUUGCCUUUUUCUACACAUAGCCGCGUCGCAGGCUUUACUUACGUGGCUUACCAGCAUUUCAGCUUGUCGGUCUAAGUCGGUUGAGCUAUCCAUUUUUUCAUCCAGCAUGAGGUCGAAGAUGCUCUCAUCUAGGGUUUCCACCUUCCAUCCUUUUUUCCGUGGCUUUUUUAGACUGCCUUGGUUUCGCGGCUUCUUGCCGAUUUCAAGCAUAAUGGCAAGAUGAUCACUAUGUAUGUAGAAGUCACACACUUUCCAAUGUGCAGAUCGAGCCAGUGAGUUGCUGGCGAACGUAAUGUCUAUAAUCGAUCCGCGGCCAUUUUUCUCGAAGGUAUUUCUGCCUCCCGUGUUAAGCAGUACAGGAUCUAGUAAGGCGAACGUUUUAAGCAAAGCAUUACCCCGCUGGUUUGUCUUGCUACUACCCCAUUCGAUUGCCCAAGCGUUAAAGUCGCCUGCUAUCACAUUUGGUGCAGUAGUAAGGGCGUCCUGAACUAAUUCAUCGAGGAUCUGUUCAUAAACACCUUGUAGUAUACUCGGAGGGAGGUAACAACUGUAAAAAUAGAUUCCGCCUAUUUUCGCUCGCGUAUAAUAUGAUUUCCCCAGAAGCGGCUUGUCUUGGAAUGCGUUUUCCCCACAGGCCCAUAUGGCGGCUUUGCUCUCUUUAUCGGAAAUCCAGGUACCAGCACUUAUGUUUUUAUACUGCUCACAGACUAUCGCCACAUCUAUCUUCUUCUCGUAGAUUGUCUGUUUCAGUAACUCUUGGGCCGCUUCGCAAUGAUUUAGGUUGAUUUGUACAAUCCUCAUUUCGCCUUUUUACAUGCCGCUUGGUAGAGGGGACAUUUCCAACUUCCCAUUCGGUGAUCCGUAUCCUUUUUUCCGUUUGAUUUGCAUGACGCACAAAAUGGUUUUUUGACGCAUUCUUUUGCGAAGUGCCCCGUUUCACCACAUUUUGCACAACACUUGCUUCUGUCAUCCUCGCUGGUACAUGCCCUCGCCAGAUGCCCAUAUUCCAGGCAUCUGAAGCACUUCCUAAGGUUCGGUUUCUCCCUUAUUCUGCAUAUAACCCAUCCUAUUUUGAUUUUGCGUGCAUCAAUUAAUUUUCUUGCGUCCGAUGCUGGAAUGCUGAUCACCGCCGUCUGCGUACCCGCGUAUGCCUGUCUCAUACUUUUAAUUGAGCUUUCCCUGAAGGAGCUUAGCUCAUUAAUUUGUAUUUGGAUUGCAUUCACGAUGUCUUCUUUUGUUGUUACCUCAUCUAGGUCGCGAAUCUCUACAGAUACUUCAUGAGUUAAGGCUCUUAUCUGUGCCUGGUCGCCUAGCACCUUACAUAUUUCCCUUUCGUAUGUACUCGUGUUUGUCAUUUGCGCCUGCUUCAUUUCCAGAAGUAUCUCGCCUUUUGCCGUCUUUCUGAUGCGCGACACGUCCUCCCCAAGUUCUUUGAGGGUAUCCUCCUUCUUGACAGCCCUGAGUAUGUCGCUGUACGUCAUGCUUCCAGAGCGUGAAAUUAUGAUUGCGUCCGGUCUCGGACGUGGGACAUAAGCGGCCUUCUUCUUCAUGUUUGGCGUUUUUCGCUUCACCUGAAUCCAAUCUUUUCUUUUUCCUCUUUCUUUCCUUUUGUAGGAAUGUCGCCUUCAUUCCUUUUGUUAGCAGUAGGCCUCUUUUGCAUUUCUUCUUGAAUUGCUUUUUUCUUUGGUGGAGUCUUGCGCGCUGGCUGCUCAUCCUCGCGUGGCCUUUUUGGUGUUGAAUCCACUCCUACGUGUCUUAAAAGGACAUUUCGUUUGGCUGCUUUGAUUGUAUUGUUAUACUCGCUUUGGGCGCGUUCGUGGAGCUUCGUCACAGAGGUUAACAGAUCACGUAUCUGGUUGUUGAUCGUUCGUUGAGGCGGUUUUAUUGCCACAGUUAGCCUAUUGAUCAUAUCUCCCAGCUCAGACAUGAUAUCUCCUUUUGGUUGCGUGAAUUCCUCUCGCGGCGUGCUGUCUUCCAGCGCUGGUGGUGACGAUCUCGCUCUUUCAGGCCUUUCCACGGUGAGCCCCUGUUUCGGUGAUCGCAUCAGUCUUGGCGCGCGUCUAAAGGGGUCAGCCUCGACGCAAGGAUCACUCAAGGUCGGCGUUCUUCUGGACGGUUGCGAUUCUGCGAUCCUACUGCCAGGGCUUUGUGUGCCGUUGCUCGAUAAGCAGUCAUGUACACUGCUACUAUUACAUUUGUUUUCUUUUCUCAGAUAAUUCUCCAUAUGUUAAGUUCUUACAGCGCAUCGUGUGUAGGGGGGCGGGCCGAAAUAGACAGGAACGGGUGUACCCUCGGAGACCAUGCUCCUACCCCAGUUCCCUGAGGCCUGUCCUUCGCUUUACCAGUCCCGGAAAACACGGACGGACCGGCGCUCGCCCGGGGCAACGCAGGCUACUACUCCUGCGCCCAAUGCACACUCCCUGACCAGGGACCGAAGUGGCUGUUUACUGAUACACCACGCGGCUAACACCUCGGCAGAGCAAGCUCACAUCACCCUUUGCAUCGCACCAGCGGAGACAUCGCUGUCAGGAUAUCCAGGGACUCCCAGUGCGCCGCGCUGUGUACCGGUCAAGUUAUAAAAUCAGCCGCACCUAACAUGGUGAACAGACGCUGACCAGGAAGCCGCCCAUUAUGGGUCCGUCGCGCCUGGAUUUUUUUUUUUUUUUUUUUUUAACACAACAUGCCCUUGCAUGUUGCGGGGGACACAUACUUCAAAGGGGCGGUGUCGGUUCGCCCACUGUCACAGGAGUUUCAACGGUCUUGCUGGUUUUUAUACCGCAACCUCCACUCCCGCCGCUUCUCGUCGGGGAUUGCUUAUUCGUUUAAACUUAUUUCGCAACUAACCUGCUACUACAGGCCGUCCGGCUAUCCGCGACCUGCCGACCCCCCCGGUCGCUUAAAGCUCAGCGACGGUGUCUAUUCCCACUGGAAAUUUAAAGUCCCACCGGGCUGUUGGUGUGAGGUGUCUGGCACUGUCCGUGCGCUAUUGUGCGCAUAGGCCGUGGACAACGCUGUGCUAGAGUAUAAAAAUCAAGUUUAUCAAAGCAAUGUGGGCACUUUUUGAAUGGACAUGAAGUAUAAUAAUAUAGAAACUAUAUUCGAAGGAAGUGGUUUUAUUUAAAUGAGUAAAUAUUAUAAUAAAUAGUAAAUACACAAUUUAUCAAUUCUCAUCCAUAAUUUCAACAACUCUUACAUCAUCAUUAUCAACAUUUUCAUCAUUAUUAUCAGGAUUUUCAUCAAAUUCUAAAACUGAAACAAUAGGUCUAUGGUAACUAAAGUAUGAAAUGAACAAUUUUGAUUUAAAUCUGUUUAUAUAUCUUGUGAAUACUGCAUCAAUAGUAGUUUUGUAUUUUGUUGUGCUAAGAUUGCGAUCAUUGGACAUCGUUAAAUCAAAUUCUUCAUAUAAAAAUUCAAUUAAUGAUUGAUUUUUGACAUCUGCAAAGCUCAUGUUGAAAUCUCCACUCAAAAUCAUAGGAUAAUGAUCAAAUCUUCUAUUAAUUUUCAUCAUAAAUAGUGCGGAAGCAGCUUUAGAAUAAAUUUGAAUACAACAACUCUCGUAUUGCUUGUAAAGAUUGUUUUGGUGAAAUAUAAACGGCAGCCAUUAUUAUUGUUUGUCCAUUAGAAUGGCAUUGGGAAAUAUAUAUAUCACCAAUAUUCGAAACAUUAGUGCUUAACAUACUGGUAUAUCUCGCAUGCACUUCCAUAUGAUCUGUAGAAAAAGUGGCCAUAGUAUCAUCGGACCGAUGAUAAAUAGCCACCCCACCUGCUGGACGAUUGUCUCUUUUGAAACUUGCUAUAAAGUUGAAAUUUGGAAUGUCAAUAGUUUCUUCGUUACUCACAUGAGUUUCUGAUAAUAUUAACACACUCAUUUUCUCAACAAGAGCAUCAACUGAUAGGUCAUGUACAUGUCGUCGUAAGCUUUGACAAUUGAAUAAAAAAAGAUAACUCUUUUUUUGUAGAAAUGAAAUCAAUAAAUGUUUUAGUAACAGUUUGUAAGUUAUUGUCAUGUAAUCGUUUCAGUUCGAUGGAUAAAUCAUCACGAUGAGUUGUAGAUCUCUUUUGGUCUUUGCUUGUGUUUGAAUCAUCAGUCGGUGCGUUUCCUACUCUGCCAUGAUGAAAUUUCCAGCUCGCUCCUGUAUCUUCUUUAGUUAAUAAGAACAAACCAUCAUUAGUUACUCUUGAUAAGGCUACGUAAACCAAUUCUCCAGAGUGAGCACGACUGUAUUCAUAAACAAUAGCAUCAAAAGUACCUCCCUGAGACUUGUGAAUCGUCAUAGCAAAAGCCGAAACUAGUGGAAAAUGUUUUCUUUUCGCCACUAUAGUUUUGUUGUUCUUCAGUGGUAUUGAUGAUGUUUGAGCAGAAAUUGGAAGAUCAUCUCUGUCGAUUCCCAAGCGUUCAAUGUCAUUUCUUGCCUUAGUUUUGCGCUUUUGACCAGCGGAUUUUAGAAACUUUAACCAAAUUCUUGUAAUUUCAUCAUUUUCUCGUCUGUCGCGAGGGCACGAACGAAUGCCCAUGCAAAGACUGCGUAUUGCAUGCAGCGCUCUCGCGUACCUAUACACUCUGAGUAUACAUAUAGGUAUGUAAUCUCGUCUGUCGCGAGAGCACGAACGAAUGCCCAUGCAAAGAGCGCGUAUAGUAUACAUAUAUUAUAAGAAUACACGCGGAGUAUAUCUGUGUGAAAUCUCAUCUGUCGCGAGAACGGCUUGAAAAUGCUCACCCACAAAAGUGCCCAACGCGCCAUAAGAAGUUUUCAUUUCAAUUAUGUAAAUAAAUGGAUCGUGAAAAAAUAUUUAUAAUAUAGCACGGACAUUUUUCUUUGACUUCACAAAAUUUCAUAGAUUUAUCUCUAGUAGUUUAUGAGAAAAUAAUUUUACAAUUUUAUCGUGCUCUAAAUUUCAACCUUCAAUAACUUAAAAAAAAAUUAAUUAUUUUGACGAAAUAUUUAUAUCACGGGGUAUGUGUCUGGUCCCCUUCCUAAUGAAUUUUUCGAAAUUUUCAUGGACCACUUGACGUGGUUUGACCCCUCUGUUUAGCUCUGCAGCUCGUGUUAUUUACUCCAGCAAUAAAUUAAAAAAAUCAUACCAAGUUUAGACAUAGCGGCAUAGAGACGGUUUCUUUUCCUGCUAUCGAAGGCGGCUUUGAAAUCGGCGCCGGUUUUCCUUACACAGGUGUUUUCUAAGAUUUGGCUCAUUGUGAAGCUACUGCCACUUGGUGUUGUGUGGAAGAUUAAAGCCCACCGUCAACAAACUGAUUAGACUUUAUGCCAAAGUCACAUAUAUGGGUUCCGUACUACAAUGUGUACUACAAUUGUUCAAAUAUCAUUGAACAUGCUUACUUAUCAGCAAUGCCGAAAUUCUAUUAAAUAUAAAUAUCUAUUUAUAUAUUAAUAUACAUACAUAUAUAUAAUGCAUUUACAUUCAUGCACAUCUAAUAAUACUGGUUGUCAAAAAAGUCACAUAUUCGAUAACAAAGUUUUUUUUAAAUGAAUGUGCAGGAAUAUUGCUGUAUUUUUUGAAAACAGUCUCAGAAUUGGCUGAUAAUAGAGAAUCAAGCAGCAGUGUUAUCAGAAAUAUAUUAAAUAAAAGAAAACGCCGUCGUUUUGCAUUAUUAGCUAGCGAAAAUUCACGGAGAAGAAUUCCAAAAACCAACAAUUUUUGUACGGUUAUCGAAAGCAUGGAAGACGAUGUAUUUUAUUCUCAUUUUCGAAUGAAGAAAAGUACAUUUCAGAAGUUGCAGAUUGCGAUUAAGCCCUGGUGGAAUUCAAGUGAAACUGGACGUUUAGCAAUAACGUUGAAAAAAGCUUUACAAAUAACAAUUUGGAAGCUAAGCAAUAAUUGCUCUUUCAGAGAUGUCAGCGAUCGGUUUGAUGUGGCAGCUGGCCUCGCUUAUAAGGUGUUUCUGAAAAUAAUUAAAAUGAUUUGCCGCUUGAAGGGAGAUGUAAACAAAUUUCCCAAAACUGCAGCGGAACAAAAACAAGAAGAAUUUACAAACCUGCGGUAUAAUCCUUUUCCUUUUGUAAUUGGAUGCAUCGACGGAACUCAUAUUCCAAUUUCGCGGCCAAUCAGAGAUGAAAUCAGCUAUCGCAACCGAAAGGGAACGUAUUCAAUCAUUACACAGGCUAUUGUAGAUAGUCGAAUGAGGUUUAUGGAUGCAUUUAUCAGCUGUCCAGGUGCAUGCCACGAUGCAUCAGUUUGGCAAAGUAGUUCUGUCAGGAAAGCUAUAAUUAGCAAGGAGAUUAAAAUCUAUUCUAAUUACCAUUUGUUGGGCGAUGGAGGGUAUCCAUUAGAAUUGUUCCUUAUGGUGCCCUAUCGUGAUAACGGGUUCUUAACACCAAUGCAGUCAAAAUACAAUGCGAUUCUGUCUUCAACUCGCGUUGUAGUGGAACAGGCAUUUGGUGUUUUAAAAAAAAAAAAUAGAAUUCUCAAAUACAUCGAAGCUCAACGUCCAUAUAUGCCAAAAUUAAUUACAAUGGCAUGCAUGAUUGUUCAUAACAUAAUAAUUGAAAAUGAAGGCUACUUAGUUGAUGAAAUAGAUGAAGAAAAAACACAUACUGAGCCCCAAAUAGUCGAAGAUACGACUACAUCGGGACAAAGGGAGACAAAAACAAAAAGGGAUGCACAGGCCACGCUAUUGUCUGCCUAAUUGAAAACAGUUUGGACUUUAAAGUUAUAGUUGUAUUUUAAACUUUACUAAACCCAAUAAAGAAAAAAUAAAAAUAAAAUAACAGUCAGUUCAUUUUGCACUAAUAGGAAAAAAAUAAACAAAAAACAAUACAUUUUGCACUUAAAAUUUAAUAUGAAAAAUUCAUUCAAGCACAUUCUAAGAUUUGUCGAGUAUUUUCUGGAACAGUGUACGAAUUUCUUUCUUUCUUUCUUUUGGUAUCUUCUUCCGAUUCCUUGUUUAAAAACUCUAACACAUUGCUUUUUCUUGUUAGUUUAUUUCUUGGAUGCUAGUACAAGGUAAUGUUGCAUCUAAGUCCAGCACCGUAGGGCUUUCGGGUGGAUCAUUACUUAAAUCUUGCAUUAAGGACUCAAGGGAAGAUUCCAGCAUGGCAUCAGGCACAAGGACACUACUGCGGCUGCCAAAAACUUCAUCCAAUGUUUGGAAAAAUUCCCAAUUAGCCGCGCCUUCUCCAGAUGUCUUGUUGCGUUUUUUUAUUCGUUUGUAGGUGCACAUUAUAUUAAAAAACAUCUGGUACUUUCGUCCUUGGAGAAUGGGAAUGUGUUAUCUAUUUCCUUCACAUCCCGCAUUAUUUGCUCCCAAAGUGUGUUCCUAUUUUUUUUUUGCAACGAAAUCUGGCUCAUACUUCAAUCUUAUUUCUAUAAGUAAUUCCUUCCUCUCAUGGUUCCACUUUUUUUCACUAUGCAUGUACAGAAAAUAUUAAAAAAUCAUAAGUAAAACUACAAUCUAUAAAGUAAACCACUUUUACUUACCAUAAAUCCGCCAUUUUCACCACAAAUUUAUAUUUUGUUUUAUGUUUACUUUUUGCCGCCAAGAAAAGCCACUAUAACAUCACAACUGAAAACAAUGCACAAGUUUGGCAUAUGUUGCGCAUAAAAAAGCAUUGCCAUGCAAUAAUGAAUACGCGGAACCAGAGGUAAGGAAUGAUAAAUCUUUGUGGAGUUAAACAAUAAUAAAAGCUCCAGAAUCCAUAUACCAGCACAGUGACACACAUAUAGUAUAUUACGACAAUGAAUUUUAUCAGCUGAUGCGAGUUAUAAAUUUAAAAAAUAUAAUAACUGCAAACAAUUUUAAAAUUUUAUAUUACUUGAAGAUAAAUAUUACAGACGUAUUGCCCUGGAGAAAGGAAUUUCAGACACCGUACAUUCUGGUCUUUGGUAAGUUCUCAAUAGUUUGUUUUCUGUGUUUCUGAAUUCUUAGGUGGAAACUUAUAAAUUUUACGAAAAUGUUGUUAAGCGUUUAUCGAAUGAAAAUUUGAAAAAUACGUUUCGUGUGAACCGGGAGCCAUUGUCCUAUUUAGUGGAUUGACUAAAAAAUGCCCAGAGACAAAAUAUGUACCUACUGCAAAAUACCAUACCUUUAAAAAAACGAAACGCUAUUGAUUUGUAUACACUAGCUUCUUCCGCUGAGUACAGAACAGUCGGAAGUCUGUUUGCAGUCGGACGCACAACGGUAGUAGUAGACAUUUGCAACGAAAUAGUUAAAUAAUUUAAAAACGAAAUUUUUUAUAGUUAUCCUCCGAAUGACGCAAAAGCUAAUGAAAUAGUAUCUGUUAUGGCGCUAUUGGUUGCCAUAUAUAAAUCAAGCCUCCAAAAAACGAAGCCUGCAAUUAUUUUAGCUUCAAAGGGUGGUACUCAACGAUUUUAUUUGCAUCCGUUGACUAUAGAUGCAGAUUCACAUACAUUAAUGUUGGGAUACCAGGACAUAGUAAUGACUCCACAAUAUUUGAGCAUUCGGGAUUAAAUAAUGUCACUGCGAUAGUGAUGUUUUCAAAAAUCAUGCUGCUGUAAUUGAAGGUGUUUAGGUGCCAAUACUCCUGAUUGGGAAUUCAGCAUGCAAACUGCAAAAAUGUCUUAUGAAACCUUUGAAGGCCCGUUUCAGGCGCUUUGGUCAAGGUAAAGUACUCCAAAUAUUCCAAACGACACUGUUAAUCAGCAAUGGAUUGAACAAGAAAACAUUCAAGACAGCCUCAUAGAAGCCACACGGAUAGAUGUGAAUAGUGGAAUCGCCAUAAGACAAGCAAUUACGGCUUAAUUUUUCUACAGUAUGUAUUCACAUAGUUUUGUCAUAGAAUAUACAUAUACAUUAAGAUACUUUAGUUAGAUAUUUUUGUUUAACAUAGCCAAAAGAAAAGAGUUUGUUUGUUCCAUCAAACUUAGGGCCUCUUCUUCAUUUAUAAUACAUUUAUUUAAGCAAAGUUCCAUCAACGUUUGCUCUUUUUUAGCAAUUUCGGGAUGUUCAUUGAUACUCGUUUUCUCUUCUUUGCAGAUGACGUAGAGGAUCGAUUUCAUGAACGUAUCAACUGAACCGACUAAUGAACCGAACCUGUGGAAUAAAAUCAUACAUACAUAUAAUAUAUUGGGCCAAUAAUCUUCCUUACUGAUCUGAUAUCAUAAUAUUAAUUCAAUGAGUACUUUUUUGCCAUGUUGUCUAUACGAUUUCGCAGAUCGUCCGGUGCCAGCGAAAUCCGUGCUCAUUUGCCAGCUGUGUGCAUAUCAGGGAUCAGGGAUAAUGGGAUGCCCAACUUAUUCCAGUCUGAGAGCGCCUCAAAAUAAUCAUUUUUUUGAAGUUAUACUUCUUAUACGACGCCGGAAAAGGUUGCGAUAGAUUCUGGUUGCGCAACCUUCCAUAUAAAAGUAACGCAAAGUUGCGCAACCUCGCUCCAUCCAUAUGAAUGUAACGCAACCUUGUCUGCAUAACCAAAUCAUACUUAAGUCAAUGCAAUCUAAGUGUCAAUGGUGGUGUUGGUGGUAAGCGCCUAGACUGUGACGAUGUGAACACCGGUUCGAAUCUCAACAGGAUUUACUUUUAAUUUUUUUUUUUUUAAUUUUUUGCUUUUUAACAUCGUAUACUAUACUAAUAAAUAUUUUUCUUACUAAUAGAAAUUAAAUUUAUCACAGCAAUAUUAUGUAUAUGUAUAUACAUAUUAUGCAUAUGUAUAUUGCUGUGAUAAAUUUAGUGCGAAAGCAAAUGUUCUACAAAUGUAUGUGUAUAUUCUAUACUUAAACAAAAUUAUUAGAACCAUCGUAUGUUUCUUGCAUGCAUAACCCAAUCAUACUUAAGUCAACGCAACCUAACUGUCAAUGGUGGUGUUGGUGGUAAGCGCCUAGACUGUGACGAUGUGAACACUGGUUCGAAUCUCAACAGGAUUUACUUUUAAUUUUUUUUUUUAAUUUUUUGCUUUUUAACAUCGUAUACUAUACUAAUAAAUAUUUUUCUUACUAAUAGAAAUUAAAUUUAUCACAGCAAUGUUAUGUAUAUGUAUAUACAUAUUAUGUAUAUAUAUAUUGCUGUGAUAAAUUUAGUGCGAAAGCAAAUGUUCUACAAAUGUAUAUGUAUAUUCUAUACUUAAACAAAAUUAUUAGAACCAUCGUAUGUUUCUUGCAUGCAUAACCAAAUCAUACUUAAGUCAACGCAACCUAAGUGUCAAUGGUGGUGUUGGUGGUAAGCGCCUAAACUGUCACGAUGUGAACACUGGUUCGAAUCUCAACAGGAUUUACUUUUAAUUUUUUUUUUUUAAUUUUUUACUUUUUAACAUCGUAUACUAUACUAAUAAAUAUUUUUCUUACUAAUAGAAAUUAAAUUUAUCACAGCAAUAUUAUGUAUAUGUAUAUUGCUGUGAUAAAUUUAGUGCGAAAGCAAAUGUUCUACAAAUGUAUAUGUAUAUUCUAUACUUAAACAAAAUUAUUAGAACCAUCGUAUGUUUCUUGCAUGCAUAACCAAAUCAUACUUAAGUCAACGCAACCUAAGUGUCAAUGGUGGUGUUAAUGGUAAGCGCCUAGACUGUCACGAUGUGAACACUGGUUCGAAUCUCAACAGAAUUAAUUUUUAAAUUUUUGCUUUUUAACAUCGUAUACUAUACUAAUAAAUAUUUUUUUUUCUUACUAAUAGAAAAUAAAUUUAUCACAGCAAUAUACAUAUACAUAAUAUGUAUAUACAUAUACAUAAUAUUGCUGUGAUAAAUUUAAUUUCUAUUAGUAAGCAAAAAAUUAAAAAUAAAUUCUGUUGAGAUUGUAGCCCGUGGUUUAAAAGGAGGGAAAACAGCACAAUAUUAUCGUGAAUACCGAGCACGAAAGAAAGCAGAGCGGGAAAAGGAGAGAUUGGAAAUGAUAGCUGGCAGCCAACCGAGGAAGAGGAAAACAGCUGAGGAAUAUCAGAGAGCGCGUAAAAAGAUUCAACGUCUGCUGUUUCAUCAAUCUCUGCGGGAGCAUCUAUAACUAGUGAUGAAUCAACGAUCGUCAAUUCACCGAUAACUGCUGAACUUUCAACGCGUGUUGAUGGAUUACAAAAGAUAUAUGGUUACGAUGCAUAUUCCCUUCCGCAAGGAAGAGACAGAACUUCUUUCCGAAUUAAAAUUCCAUCAUUUAGACUUUGCUUUAUAAAAAGUGCAUAAUAAAAUUAUAAAAUGUGAA